GUUCUUGAUUCCUGGAGGGCUUGCUAAAACACGGACUGCUCCUGGCCUCAGGCGAUGGAUCCUUCAGCCCCAACCUUCCACAGCGCUGGAUUACGGAUGAACAAGCAGAGGCAUGGAGAAGCAGAGUCAUGUGCCCCAGGUCACACAGCCAGGAAAUGGAACAAGCUGGCCACAGGUGUUGGGAGGAACAUGUUGACAAGCUGCCCAGGAUGCCCUGGAGGCCCCUUUGGGGAUCCCCAGUGGAGAUGA
This 249-nucleotide long non-coding RNA is filed under the name Papio anubis (olive baboon). Its description in RNAcentral is "lncRNA (ENSPANG00000039957.1)". Lineage: Eukaryota; Metazoa; Chordata; Mammalia; Primates; Cercopithecidae. The record is from RNAcentral.